UCCGGCCACCAGACGCGUACAGAGCCGAGCCCCACAUCGACAUGCGGCGGGCACCUCUGCACGACAGGGAGUGCCACCUCAGCAUGGGGUGCGUGCUACGCGCGCAACGAGAAUAACGAGGGCCCAAAGCGAAAUGGUGAGGGCCUUGACUGAGAGGAACAACUGGAAAAAGUUCCGGGAGUACUCUCAGGCCGAGGUUUUACGUAUUUGUUCCGAUUUCGGAAUAACUACACUGGCGCUCAAAAACUGCAUCUCUUCUCUACACAGGCGAAAAAGAAAAGCUGCCAUAGCAGCAAUAGAUCAACACUAGGGUUUUCGUUUUAGUUUUUUUUCUCAGUUCCUAGGUUUAAAGGGAACUAGAGUUUGUCGUGUAAUAGAUGCAUUGUAUGUACUGAGAUGUAUACAUCUCUGAUUUACAAUCCGUCUUUUUUUCUAUUCAAGUAAGAGCUUAGGGUCUUAACUUAUUCAUUCAACUGAAAUUAGAUCUUGUCGUUUAUAUCGUUGGAAAAGUUGCAGAAUCCGUUGCAAACGGACAUUAACUAAGGUAGGACUAAACGGAAAGUACUUGUUGAGUAGUUAUCCUACGAACUCUCUAACUCCUAUAAACGGCAAGGCCGUUAGUUUCUUGCCAUUUAAGGUAAUAACUAAAUUGAUUGAAUAUUUGCAGACAAAAUUUUAGUGUCUUUUAACUCCGACGAAACCCAUUAUUUCUUUGUGCAUAUGUCGAACUCUGAAUAAAACCCUAUUUUAGCUUUGCUGAUAGGGCAACAGUAAAUUUAAGCUUCGAGACAACACGCAUAAAAGGUUGGUAUUUAUAAGUUUCUGCCGCUUUUUAAUACACUGCUUAUUCGUGUGCUUACCGUUACAUUAACCGUACAAGAUUUUUUCGGGAUUUUCUUCGACAUAACUCAUCAGUAAGUUAUUAUGUUUUAUUUUCUAAAAGUAAUUGUCUCUAGGCAGUCAUUAAUGUAGUGUACGGAAAUUGACGAGGCGACUCUAAAUGACCGGAAAAUGUGUAACAAUUAAUCAGUUAGCUAAGAUCUAAGACCGCAUAAUUUAUAACCUUUUCCCCAUGCAUGCAAUCAUAUAACACGGAAGAUAAGGCACCUUACGACUGUAAUUGUAAUAAUGAAAUUCAUUUAUAUAAGUUAAUCUAAAACUGGGAAUAAAAGAUAGAACGAAAAGAAAGCAGACCUGCACAAACGGGAGCAGUACCAAAUUAAGAACUUCAUCGGGAGCUCGCCUAAAGCAUCUGGCUCAAGAAGCUGUACAAAAUUACGUAACAAAAUCUCGUAGAUAUGAAAGAGCAGAUAUAGAAACCGAUAGAAGUAUGACGACUAAGGUUAAAUUAACUUUUAAUUGGAUAAGAGUACGAAGGGUCAAUUAGCAUAUUUACGGCAACUGCACAAUCAACAAAAAUUUAAUCGUGUUGAGAAGAUUAAAAAAUCUUGGUAUGAGCAAAUUGAUCGGAUGCAAAGGCGAUUAAAAAUUAAAUUUGUAUCCCUGUUCGUUUCAUAUAAAAAUCAUCGAUAGAUUUCAAUUUAAGCUCUCCCUUCGUUAUAGAUAGUUCCAGCCAACAAAAUCUAAAUAUAGAUACGACAAGAUCGCCAACAUAGAAAUUUCGGGAAAAAAAAAAUAUCCGACGUACCUGAUACGAUUUUUCAACUCGAGUUCAAAUAAAAAUACGCCUAAUUCAAUGAUAUUUUAGUUUCUAUCUCCACGUGUAUGAACUGAAGUUCCGGUGUAAGAAUUAAGUUUAUCUAACUUUUUCAUUUGAAGCCAAAUAAUUACGAGUUGCAUAAAAAACCGAACUUUCGUCGAUCCAGCAACAUGUUCCUCCUAAAUUCGAUUCCAGUUCUUAACUAGGCUUUAUACAAGACUGUUAUAGGUGAGCAUAAUUUGCCAUAAUAAUAAUAAAAACCUCAAUCAAACACAAAGAAAACCAUCAAUAUUUUCAUUUUUAUUUUCCUUUUUCAUACAAACAUAAUUAAGUAUAUAUAUUAAUAAUAAAUAAAUUAUAAGGAAAAGGAAAUACAAAAGGAAAAGGAAAGAGAAAAUUACUUUUGGGGAAGGAAAUUGUUCUUGGAGAGGCAGGACUGAAUAUUGCAAGCUUGUUUCUUACAUGGCUCUUUACUCGGCUGCCCCAUUUUACCAAACCCUAAUCCUCUUUGCUCGGGUUUUGAUCGUCGCCAUUUGGAUAUCUUGGGCUUCUCAUUCCACUGGGCGGAGACGACUUGCAAAUUCCCGCACUCUCCACCACACACACGAGAAUCCUUAGCAACCAUCAUCAUGCGAUAGGAGCUUGUCUUUUCUGGAAAAGCAGCAUCCACAUUAAUCUUGAUCGUCCCCAUGGUGAAGGUUUCCAAACCGUUUCCUAGAGCUCAAAUGUCUACUCCCCAUGCAAUAUUUGGUUACGACGAUCUCCGUCAGCAUACAACCACUGCCACCAAGAACGAUGCAACGGAAGUCGAAAUCCUAGUCAUGUACAAGAAGUGUAUGCACAACCACGCAGCCUCCUACAUACUCCAAGUCGUGUAAUAAGAGGGCACGAAAUAUAGAUAAUCCCACAUGCCCAACUCUACAUUUAAUAUUUUUUAAUUUCAUGAUUCAAAGUUUUUGUGUUCAUUCCAUAUUCCUUAAAUUGAUUGAAUUUAGAUUUAACAAAUAGCCAAACAAUAGUUUGUUUUACAAACUUAUAUAUCAAUGUCAUAUACAAUGCACAAAUUCUGCACUAAUGAACUUGGGCACAAAAUUAGCACUAAUGAACUUGGCACAAUUCCUGCACUAAAGAAAAAAAAAAGACAGUCUUAAAUGAAUUACACAUAUUCUUAUUCCUUGACAAAUAAACCGAUCAAAUGCCAUUUUUCUUACAAGAACCAAAUAUACUGAAGGGGGCAACUAUUUUGAAUACUAAUUUUUGCUUAGUUGAAUACUACCUAGUUGAAAACCACAAUUGAGUACAUAUUUAUAAGUUUUUUCUUACUUUAAUACCAAAAUAAAAAUAAAAGUACAAAAAUACCCUUUCAUACAAAAUACUAAUUACAUCAAUUUUUCUUUGAAAUUACCUACUUGAAAACCAAAUAAAAAAAAAAAGAAAAAAGAAAUUCAAACACAAAAAACCUCCCUCCGUCCACGCCGCCCGCCGCCGCCGCUCCAACCAUCGCCGCCGCCGGACGCCGACGCCAAACACCGCCGAACGCCGCCCAACGCCGCCCAACGUCGCCCAAAGCCGCCGCCGUCGUCGUCUUCGAAUAGUAAGUUAUAGUUGUUUCGAUUUUUUUUUCUUUAAUAUUUAUUUAAGAUUUGAUUGUUUGAUAUGGGUAAUUAGGAUUUGGUUGUUUUAGGUUAGAAUGAUCGUUAAUUAGUAAUGAGUGCAUCUGAUUUCAGUCGAUUUGAGCAUUGAUUUGAGAUUCGUGGGUCGGUUCUUCGUUCACCAUUUUCGACCUGUAUAUGUCGAUUUUCGAUGAAUUUUCGACAGGUUGAUGUCGAAAAUUCAUCCAAAAUCGACAUGUAGAUGUCGAAAAUGGUGAAAUUGUUGUAUCAGUUCAAAUUCGACAGCUAGCUGUCGAAUUUGAACUGUGAAUUUUUUUUUUUUUUUUUUUUUUUUUUUCGACACUUAAGGGUAUUUUCGACACAUACACGUCGAAAAAUAAGGGUAUUUUCGACCUGUAUGUGUCGAAAAUACAUGGCGAGUUUUAAAAAAAAAAAAAUUUCAAAAUCAAUGUUUUAGCUCAAAAAAUACAUGAAUACAUACUUGAAUGGGUUCUCCUUGCUCGUAAACUACUAUUCUAUUGUCAUUUGAGGCCAUUUUGCAAGUUGUGUAAGGUUUUGAUUUCUUUUGUUUUGGGGUUUUUUAGGAGGGUUUUUGGGGAGGGAGAAGAAGGAGGUGGAGGAGGUGAGGGGUUUGGGAGUGAGGAGAGAAAUGUUUUUUUUAGGUUUUUUAUUAUUUGGUUUUUAAGAAAGAAAAAUAGUAUUUGUAAUAUUUUUUUGGUUUUAAUUUUCAUUAAGGGUAUUAAAGUAAUUUACAAUUAAUUAUUUAAUUUCUAUUUUUUUGGUAUUCAACUAAGCAAAAGUUAGUAUUCAAAAUAGUUGUCCCCUAUACUGAAAGCUCGCUAAAAAGGAAGUUUAAUUUCUAGAGCUCGCUCAAAUGUUUCAUCAUAAAGAAAUCUAAAAGCACGAUCAAUUGCACGUAAAAAUUGAAUUGCGCUCUCAACACUCAUUUCACUGUCAAUAUAAACUCACCACUCCAUCUCAUUUCAUUUCACUCACCAUCUAAAAUACACAUUAUGCAGUAAAAAAAAAAACAUUCUUGAAAGAGUGCAUGUUGCACAACCAUGCAGCCUCCAAUGGAGGAUCCCGCGAGGCCAUGCUCUGUGCCGCCUGCGCGGGGGCUGCGACUACAAAGAGAAUAACGAGGGCCCAAAGCGAAAUGGUGAGGGCCUUGACUGAGAGGAACGACUGGAAAAUGUUCCGGGAGUACUCUCAGCCUGAGGUUUUAUGUAUUUGUUCCGAUUGCGGAAUAACUACACUGGCGCUCAAAAACUGCAUCUCUCUACACAGACGAAAAAGAAAAGCUGCAAUAGAUCAACACUAGGGUUUUCAUUUUAGUUUUUCUUUUAGUUCAUAGGUUUAAAGAGAACUAGUGUUUGUUGUAAUAGAUGUGUUGUAUGUACUGAGAUGAUACCUCUCUUCAUUUUCCUUGUCCAAAAUUCAACUAUACUAAUUAAAUUAUGAUAGAGCGAGCCGGCACUGCACUUAUAUUGCUCAUAUAACUAAAAACGAAUUUCUUCAAACCAUUCUAAUACACUAUUAUAAUUUAGUCUUUAAAAUCAAAAAAAAAAAAUCAUUUAGGCCAAACAUCUCUAGCAUGUGAACCUAAGAAGUUGUUGGUUAUAGAAACAAAAUACAUACCGAUAAAUAAAAAAAAAAAAAAAAAAAAAAAAAAGAGACCAAAUAAAAUAACUUCAAUAGCUCCAAACUCACACCAAAAAUGCACAUAACAAGAUAUACUAUAUGCACAAAUUCUGCACCGAUCAUAAAAUACAAUUUUUUUCAGCUACUCUUGCUCAACUUUUAUGAGAAGACCAAGAAAUGAAUUGCGCAAAAAGUGGUAAAAAAAAUGCACUAACCUUGUCAUACGAACCUAACUCAUUCCCUUUCGUUAUCAUCUUCUUCUGCUCUUGAAAUGACUACCAAUAACGUACAACAAUAACCAAAGAAAGUUCUCCUGCACGUAAGAAGAGGAUAACGAGGGCAUAAAGUAAAACGGUGAGGGCUCUGUCUGAGAGGAACGACCGGAAGAUGUUCCGGGAGUACUCUCAGGCGGAAGUUUUACGUAUUUGUUCCGAUUUCGGAAUAACUAAACUGGCGCUAAAAAAUUGCACUCUCAACACAGGCGAAAAAGAACAGCUGCAAUAGAUCAACAAUAGGGUUUUCGGGGUUUUUUUUCUUUGUUUUUUUUCAGUUCCUAGGUUUAAAGGGAAGCUAGCGAAAUUAAGAUAGAGCGGGCAGUGCACUAAUAUUGCACAUUGCGCUAAUAUUGCACAGUAUAACUAAAAACAUAUUACUUCUACCAUUAUUACAAUUCCGUCUUGGGACUAUUCACAAUCAAGAAACGAAAUCAUUCGUACCAAACACCACUAUCUAGCAGCUUGUUAACCUAGACAGACUACAAGUGUUGUACAAGCAAAAUAUGACGAUCACUACCAAUUAAAAACUAAUUCAAAUUAUCUUGGUUACUCUGUUUGGAGUUAAUAUUAUCACAGCUUCGUUCACCUAGAAUUCCCAAAUCGAACUUCCAAUUUAUUUACUCUCGACAUUUCUAUUUACGCAGCCACAUGCUAGGUUAUUCUAUAUCAGUAUCUCUAACAGAGGAGUUACCAAAAUCAUACGCCAAUGAAUCAUUUCCUAAGAUUGUUUAUUCACAAAUAAUAAGUUAAUCUUACAACAUAACCAAUCUAACAAAGUCGGGAGAAUAUCAAGAAGACGUACCGAUAGAUCAUCAAAUUCGUUCAAGAAAAGGCAAACGUGUGGUAAUUUUUACUACGGAAUUUCUUGUUGCUAGCUGCUUCAAAGGAUUUGAUGUAGGCAUGAUUUGAAUGCUAAGAAGAUAAAGGCAAGCACUGGAAAACCUAGAAUAAGUAAUAGUUACUACAAUACGAACUAAUAAAUGUUUGCAUGUAUGUACGUUUAUCUAUAUUAGCGAAUCAGAUUUCGAGAUAUUCAUGCUUUAGAGACGUACCCGAGUUAUUUCUACAUUCCUCACUUCCUUGUACAUCCUUUAUCAUUCUCAUCAACAAUGCCAAAAACCAAUUAUUCAUUGGUAUCGACUUUGAAUAUCUGCAUAUCGUAAAUCAUAUAUUUACACCAAAUGAAUGAGAAAAUUCAAAUAUACAAUCUUAGUAUGUUUAGUACAGAGGAUCAAGAACUUACUUAUCUUACAUUCUGCCAACAGCUGUAAAAUGAAAUAUUGUUAAACGAGGCAAAAAGACAGUUAAAUAGAACAAAAGGUGAAACGAAAAUGGAUAUUAUAUUAUAAAUGUAAUAGUUAGCAAAAAAGAAAAAAAAAUUGAAAAUUAAAAAUCGAAUCGAUAAUUGGAAUCUCGUAUAUAAUCCAAUUCCUACAAAAACAAAUACAAAUUUUGCAAACAAAAAAAAUCAAAAUGAAAAAUAUUGUUCUAAAAUAAAAAUAUUAAAAUUUAAUAUACGUGGAUCGAAUUAGAGGAAAAUUUAAAAGUUCGUUAUAAUCUUCAUCCUCAUUUAAACAUCUCUUUAACUACUAUAAUUGUAUUGCUCAAAAAAACAUUAUUCUUAAUUGCAAUAAGGUUCGGAAGUUAAGAACGGUCGGAGUUAUUCAAAGAUGACGGAUUUUUUCGACCGAUAACAUGUUGCAUUUAUUUAUUUGUUUCCAAUCUUUAAGGUUAAACUAAAUAGUAAUUAAUACGUAUAAUCAAUGAUGAUGCUUAACGGAUUUACGAUUUACACUAGCCAAAACCACGUGGCUGCGUGUCCCUAGUGAUCAUGAGAGCUUUUCGACAUAAAUGGUAAAUUUAACGAACAACGUAAAUACCGACCAACGGUUUAUAGUUUAGGCGGCAAAAUAUUAUUUACCCUAAUAAGGGUUUGUCAUUCCAACGGUCAUUUAUUUCUUGUUUUCACGAUAACGAACAAUAUCUUAAUCAGUCGACAUUUACCUACAAAUAUUUACAAUAAGAAGUAAAAAAAUGAGUAAAAUUGCAUGAGAAAACAUUUACCCACAAAUAUUAUAUUUGACUGUUAUUAAGUCAAAAUCAUAGAUUACUGACUUACUGUAAUACAAAAUGUUAUAAUGUUUUCAUGAUUGUGACGUCAUAAUUAAAUGAAAUUAAUAAAAUCUGAUCCUGUAAAGUUAUUUUUGACUGCAAAAUCAAUAUUUAUGCCUUACUAUUCAUAACUCAAAAUCUGAGUCUUAAAUAUGAUUUUAAAUUAUAAAAUAUAUUCGUUUGAAUUUUAUAUAGAAAGUAAAUAGAGUGAAUACAUAUAUAUUAUGAUCCUGAAUAGAAUUUAAUAAAAGUCUAUGUUAUGGAUUACAACUCCAGAAUAAUGAAAAUUUUGUUUAUGGAUUUAUUAAUUUUACUAUUUUCUGAAGAUUAAUCAUAAUUAAUGGAUUUUUCUUUUCUUAUUCUAAGUUUUGCAUCUUAAUAUAAAUGUAAUUAAAUAAUAAGCACAUGAGUUUACUCUAUGCUACAUAUAAUUUAAUCCAGGUGCAAUCCAACCAAAUUUGGGAAAAUUUUAAAUUGGAUUGUUAAAUGUUUAAUAAAAUUACUUUUAAGAAAAAGAAAAAGAAACAGAAAAUCCCAUUUCAGUAUUUAAGUAAGUAAAUCACUAAAUCUGGAAUACAGAUAUCAAGAAUUGAAAUCCAAUGUACAUAAUCCAAAAAAUAGAGGAAUAAGAUUACACCUCAACCCUCAUUUCACUCUCUAUAUAAACUCACCACUACAAUGUUUCAUUUCACUCACCGUGAAAAGAACACACUCUGCAGUCAGCAAAAAAAAAAAGAAAAAAAGAAAAAAAGAAAGAAAAUUCUGCAUUCUUGAAAAGAAAUGGCCAAUGACAAUGCAGUGAAAGUGGAAAUGCUAGUCAUGUACAAAGAGUGUAUGCACAACCAUGCAGCCUCCACCAGAGGAUUCCUCCUCGAUGGCUGCGGCCUCUUCGAGACCCCUAGCGGCACCACCACCGGGUCCCGCGAGGCCAUGUUCUGUGCUGUCUGCGGCUGCCACCGCAACUUCCACCAGAGAGUCGCAGUUGAAAUUCCGCAACACCACCGCUCCUCCUCCAUCCGCCACCACCACCACCAACAACAGCCCGCCUCGCACCCCGACCAACAACAACAACAACAACAGCCCGCCUCGCACCCCGACCAACAACAACAGCCCGCUUUGCACCCACACCAACCACAACAGCCAGCCUCGCACCCCGACCAACAACAACAGCCCGCCUUGCAUCCCCACCAACCGCAACAGCCCGCCUAGCACCACCACCACCACCGUUUUGGUGGAGGCAGCGGCAGAGGCACCAUGAUCAUUCGCCGCGAACCAGCCUCUGCACCAGGCCGCUUCGCUCCCGAGCAGGCGGCGGCUCGUCGGCAGAGGCGGGCCCUACCUCGACAUACGGAGGGCACUUCUGCUGCACCACAGGAAGUGCCACUUCAGCAUGGGGUGGGUGCCCCCCGCAGAAAGAGAAUAACGAGGGCCCAAAGCGAAAUGGUGAGGGCCUUGACUGAGAGGAACAACAGGAAAAUGUUCCGGGAGUACUCUCAGACUGAGGUUUUACAUAUCCGAUUUCGGAAUCACUACACUGGCGCUCAAAAACGGCAUCUCUCUACAAAGACGAAAAAGAAAAGCUGCAAUAGCUGCAAUAGAUCAACACUAGGGUUUCCGUUUUAGUUUUUUUUUUUUCGGUUCCUAGGUUUAAAGGGAACUAGAAUUUGUCGUGUAAUAGAUGCAUUGUAUGUACUGAGAUAUAUAGAUCUCUGAUUUACAAUUCGUUUUUUUUUUUUUUUUUUUUUAUUGAAGUAAGAGCAUUGGAUCUUAACUUAUUCAUUCAACUGAAAUUAGAUCUUGUCGUUUAUAUCGUUGGAAAAGUUGUAAAAUCCGUUGCAAACGGACAUAAAAUUAAGGUAGGACUAAACGGAAAGUACUUGUAGAGUAGUUAUCCUACGUACUCUCUAAUUCCUAUAAACGGCAAGGCCAUUAGUUUCUUGCCACUUAUGGUAAUAACUAAAUUGAUUGAAUAUUUGCAGACAAAAUUUUCGUGUCUUUUAAGUUCGACGAUACCCAUUAUUUCUUUGUGCAUAUGUCGAACUGAAUAAAACCCUAUUUGAGCUUUGCUGAUAGGGCAACAGUAAAUUUAAGCUUCGUGACAACACGCAUAAAAGGUUGGUAUUUAUAAAAGCUUUGCUCAUUCGUGUGCUUACCGUUACAUUAACCGUACAAGAUUUUUUCGGGAUUUUCUUCGACAUAACUCAUCAGUAAGUUAUUUUGUUUUCUUUCUAAUAGUUGUCUCUAGGCCGUCAUUAACGUAGUGUUCGGAAAUUGACGAGACGACUCUAAAUGACCGGAAAAUGUGUAAUAUUCACUUAGCUAAGAUCUAAGACCGCAUAAUUUAUAACGUGUUCGGGAGAUAACAUGUUAAUUAAUAUCCCCAUGCUAGCAAUCAUAUAACACGGAAGAAAGAAGAAAAAAAUGCUGACUUGAAUCGACGAUAUGGAAAUUCACUUUUAACAAAUCUAUAUUAAAACUGGGAAUAAAAGAUAGAACGAUAAGAAAGCAAACCUGCACAAAUGGGAGCAGUACCAAAUUAAGAACUUCAUCGGGAGCUCGCCUAAAGCAUCUGGCUCAAUAAGCAGUACAAAAUUACGUAACAAAAUCUCGUAGUUAUGAAAGAGCAUAUAUAGAAACCGAUAGAAGUAUGACGACUAAGGUUAAAUUAACUUUUAAUUGGUUAAGAGUACGAAGGUUCAAUUUACGUGCACUACACGUAAUAACCUUGAUAACAGUCAUUAGCAUAUUUACGGCAACUGCACAAUCAAUGAAAACUUAAUCGUGUUGACAAGAUUAAAACAUCUUGGUAUGAGCCAAUUGAUCGGAUGCAAAGUCGAUUAAAAAAUGAAUUUGUAUCCCUGUUCGUUUCAUAUAAAUCAUCGAUAGAUUUCAAUUUAAGCUCUCCCUUCGGUAUAGAUAUUUCCAGCCAACAAAAUCUAAAUAUAGAUACGACGAGAUCACCAACAUAAGAAUUAAGUUUAUCUAACUUUUUCAUUUGAAGCCAAAUAAUUACGAGUUGCAUAAAAAACCGAACUUUCGUCGAUCCAACAACAUGUUCCUAAACUCGAUUCCAGUUAUUAACUAGGCUUUAUACCAGACCGUAAUAGGUGAGCAUAAUUUGCCAUAAUAAUAAUAAAAAUGUCAUAACAAAAUUCAACAUAAAACUCAGAGGGCAUAGGUGGGACAAUAUCACAAUAUUUUUUUUUUCCUUUUUCACACAAAAAUAAUUAAGUAUAUAUAUUAAUAAUAAUUAAAUUAAUAAAGAAAAGGAAAUACGAAAGGAAAAGGAAAGAGAAAAUUACUUCUUGGAGAGGCAAGCCCGAAUAUCGCAACCUUGUUUCUUACAUGGCUCUUUACUCGGCUGUCCCAAUUUACCAAACCCUAAUCCUCAAAAUUCCCCCCUUUUUGUUUCUCUUUCUUCACUACUUCCAGAAUUGAUCGGUGGCGUGCUACUGUUGAGAAAAUGGCAGUCAAAUCGAAUCGUUGAUGCUGGUUUUCUUUCAAUUUCGUCGAUUUCAGAAUGAUGAAUUACAGAGAUGAUUGAUCUGUGACUGUAUGUAUAAUAGUAGUACAAAAUUUAUUUUAUUUAUAAAAUUUUAUAAGUAAAUUAUAAAAUUUAUUUAUUUAUUAUUUUUUUAAUAAUUAUUUAAAUUAAGAGAGAUAUUGUUUUUGCAAUUUAACGCUUAGAUCAAGGGGCAACUAAAACAAAUCCCAAUUUUUUCUCACUUCAGUAUCUCCAAGUUUAAAACCAUUUUUUAUAGAAGUUUUUACAACUUUUUCUUAGUUUAAAACCAUAAAUAAAUAAAAAAUGCUAGCAAAGUACAAAAAUGCCCUUCAUCAACCAUAAUACAAUUUAUACAAACAAUUUUUUUAUUCCUCACUUCAAUACCAAGGAAAAAAAGAAAAACAAAUCCUCUCUUCUUCUCCCCAAACUCAAAUCCCUUAGAGCAUCCACAAUGGGCUCUUUAAAUGUAUUCUUUGUGUCAGAUUUUAGCCAAUCUUUAAAUUUGGAGAGGAAAAGCUCCUGUAGUGGGAAACUUUAUGCCUCUUCAUAACUCCCCAAAUCUUGAGAAAUGCUAACUAACUCCCCACAGAUAGGAGUGCAUUAACAAACAUUGCGGGGUCUGCUUUUGUUUUAUUUAUUUUUUAUUAUUCAAAUUAUUAUCUUUUUUGCUUUUCUUUUUGUUUUUAUUUCACGGUAUGUACAUUAAGGAAAUAAUGUACUAUUUAAUAAUUGUUUAAAUAAAAAUUACUAAUUACUUCCAUUUAUUUAUACUUAAUUAGCCUUAUUGUAAUAAAAAAACAAUUAACUCGUAAAUUUAAUUUUUUUUUAUUAUUUUCAUGAAUAGAUAAUUUUAUCAUUUCUAAAAUAGUAUUCAUCAAAUUAAUAAUCUUAUUUCAACUCAUUUGUAUUUUUUUGGCUAAUUAAUAUUUAUGUUAUUCGUAAAUUUUUUGAAUCUUUUAAAUAUUAUUUAUAUAUUUAUAGAAUUAAAAAAAUAAAUAUAAUUCAUAAUUAAAAAUAUAUAAAUAUAAUUUCAUAAUUAUAUUUUACUAAUUAAAUAUAUUUUACUAAUUAAAUAUAAAAAAUUAAAAAUAUAAUUUCAUAAUUAUUAUAUUAUAAUGAUUUUUUUUUAUUAAUAUUUAAUAUUUAGGAAGCCAUUGUAAGGAUGCACAAAACCACCUAUUGGAGCAUUUUGAAAUUUGGGGAGUUCUUAAGUGGGGUCCAUAGUUUAGAGAGGAGUAAAAAUGCAUAGGUGGCAUGUGGGGUCCACAGGUUAGGGAGGGAUUGUAGGGAGUACCGCUGUGGAUGCUCUUAAACCCUAUCUUCUUCAUCUUCUUAAAUCCUCCAAAACAUCUCCAAAUUCAAAAAAUCAAAACCUCACAAAACUUAUAAAAUGGAGUUAUAAGACAAUAAUAUGGUAGUAUGUAUGGAAAGAGAACCCAUUAAGGUAAGUAUCGAUGUUUUUUUUGAGCCUCGAAGUCGAUUUGGAAUUUUUUUUUGACCCCGUCGGCAAUUUUCGACACAUACAGGUCGAUUUUUUUGUCAAUUUUCGACACCAACGUGUCGAAAAAAAAUAAAAAAAAAAAAAAACACAAAUUUCGACAGGUAUGUGUCGAAAAAAUACUGUUGGUAAACAAUAAUUUUUUUUUUUUACCAAUAGUGUUUUUCGACACUUGCCUGUCGAAAUUGGGAGAAUUUUCAACAUGUAUGUGUCGAAAUUUGUUUUUUUUUUUUUUUGUUUUUUUUUCGACACGUUGGUGUCGAAAAUUGACCAAAUAAUCGACAUGUAUGUGUCGAAAAUUGCCGACGGGGUCAAAAAAAAAACUUCAAAAUCGACUUCGAAGCUCAAAAAAGACAUCGAUACUUACCUUAAUGUGUUCUCCUUUCAUAUAUACUACCAUAUUAUUGUCUUGUAACUCAAUUUUAUAAUUUUUGUGAGGUUUUAAUUUCUUUAGUUUUGAGAUUUUUUAGAAGGGGUUUUGGGGGAGGGAGAAGAAUGAGGUGGAGGAGGUGAGGGGUUUGUGAGUGAGGAGGGAAAUGGUUUUUUAGGGUUUUUGAUUAUUUGGUAUAUAAGAAAGAAAAAUAGUAUUUGUAAUAUUUUUUUGAUUUUAAUUUUCAUUAAGGGUAUUAAAGUAAUUUACAAUUAAUUAUUUAAUUUUUAUUUUUUUAUUAUUCAAGUAAGCAAAAGUUGGGAUUUGAAAUAGUGAUCCCCUUAGAUCAAACGUCGAAGUACACAUUGGGACAAUUUUUCAAAGGGUUACCCCUCGUACUCUGCCUGAGAAUCACUUUACUCCCUCGUACUCUCAAUUUCAUCGAUUUACCCCAUGUACUUGUACAAUUUCUCAAUACAGCCAUUUCCUUCAACUUUUGACAUUUUUUACUCUGACACCGUUUAGUCAACUCUGUAAAUUACGAAAUUGCCACUGCCUACAACGCGUCGUUUCUCCUCCGUUAAUAUUGUCAUUUCUUCUUCUCCCACCACUUCCCCUUCCAAGAUAUCCCCAAAUUGAACCCCUAACUUAGUAAAAAUUAAGACCCUAAAAUUGAUCGAUUCCACCCACUGCAAAAAAAAAAAUAUAUGAAUGUGUGAAACUUUCUCUUUUCUAAUCUCGAUAGUCAAAAUCGAAAAAAAUCAAUAUUUACGUCAAUAUUUUGACUCUUGACCAAAUGGCGUCAGAGUCAAAAUCGAAAAAAGUUGACGGAGAGGAUUGUAUUGAGAAAUUGUACAAGUAUAAGGGGGUAAAUCGACGAAAUUAAGAGUACAAGGGGGUAAAAUGGUUCUUGGACAUAGUACAAUGAGUAAAGUGGAAUUUACCAUUUUUCAAAUAUAUGAGGCAAAUGAUGCAAUUAGGAGUAGAAAUGGGUAAAGUGGAAUUUACCCUAUUAAAAAUACUAACAAUAUAAAUACCCAUUACAAUUUUCAAUUAUUUACUCGUUAAUUGAAAAUUAAUAAUAUUUGAUUUUUUUUAUAUUAUAAUAUUACUGUGAAUUGGUGAAUAAAUAUUUUUAUUCAAACUAUGAUCAAUAUAUAGGUAAAAGUACAAACUUGAUUCACAUUACUAGUGACACUUUUUUUUUUUUUCCAACUUAUUAUUUGGGAUGUGAUCGUCGCCACUUGGAUAUCUUGGGCUUCUCGUUCCACCGGGCGGAGACGAACUGCAAAUUCCCGAACUCUCCACCAUACACACACGAGAAUCUUUAGCAACCAUCGUCAUGCGAUAGAAGCUUGUUUUUUCUAGAAAAAGUAGCAUCCACAUUAAUCUCAAUCGUCCCCAUGGUGAAGGUUUCCAAACCGUUUCCUCAAGCUCAAAUGUCUACUCCCCAUACAAUAUCUGGUUACGACGAUCCCAUAUCUGCCAGUAUACCACCACUGCCACCAAGAACGAUACAACAACAAUUGAUAUCCUAAUCAUGAACAAGAAGUGCAUGCACAACCACGUUGCAUCCGACAUAAGAGGGCAAGAAAUAUAGAUAAUAAUCCCACAUGCCCAACUCUACAUUUAAUAUUCUUUGAUUUCAUGAUUUAAAGUUUUGUGUUCAUUCCAUAUUCGGUAAAUUGAUUGAAUUCAGAUCUAACAAACAACCAAACAAUAGUUUUUUUUACAAAGUUAUAUAUCAAUGUCAUAUACAAUGCACAAAUUUUGCACUAAUGAACUUGGACACAAAAUUAGCACUAAUAAACUUGGCACAAAUCCUGUACUAAAGAAGAAGAAAAAAACAGUCUUAACUGAAUUACAAUAUUAUUAUUCCUCAACAAAUAAAUCAAUCAAAUGCCAUUUUUUCUCACAAGAACCACAUAUACUGAAAGCUCGCUAAAAAACAAGUCUAAUUUCUAGAGCUCGCUCAAAUGUUUCAUCUUAAAGAAAUCUAAAAGCACAAUCAAUUGCACGUAAAAAUUGAAAUUGCGCUCCCAACAUUUAUUUCACUGUCAAUAUAAACUCACCACUCCAUCAUUUCAUUUCACUCACCAUUUAAACUACACAGUCUGCAAUCAAAAAAAGAAAAAAAAAUGCAUUUGUGAAAAGAAAUGGCGACUGACAAUGUAUUGAAAGUGGAAGUGCUAUACAAAGAGUGCAUGCAUCACAACCAUGCAGCUGAUCUCGCGAGGCCAUGCUUUGUGCCGCCUGCAAGGGGUCGACCCGCGACUCGCGCAAAGAGAAUAACGAGGGCCCAAAGCGAAAUGGUCAGGGCCUUGAGUGAGAGGAAUGACUGGAAAAUGUUCUGGGAGUACUCUCAGGCUGAGGUUUUACGUAUUUGUUCCGAUUUCGGAAUAACUAAACUGGCGCUAAAAAAUUGCACUCUCAACACAGCCGGAAAAGAACACCUGCAAUAGAUCAACAAUAGGGUUUUCGGGGUGUUUUCUCUUUGUGUUUUUUCAGUUCCUAGGUUUAAAGGGAAGCUAGCAAAAUUAAGAUAGAGCGGACAGUGCACUAAUAUUGCACAUUGCGCUAAUAUUGCACAGUAUAACUAAAAACAUAUUACUUCUACCAUUCUAAUUUACAUUAUUACAAUUCCUUCUUCGGACUCUUCACAAUCAAGAAACGAAAUCAUUCGUACCAAACACCACUAUCUAGCAGCUUGUUAACCUAGACAGACUACAAGUGUUGUACAAGCAAAAUAUGACGAUCACUACCAAUUAAAAACUAAUUCAAAUUAUCUUGGUUACUCUGUUUGGAGUUAAUAUUAUCACAACUUCGUUCACCUAGAAUUCCCAAAUCGAACUUCCAAUUUAUUUACUCUCGACAUUUCUAGGUUAUUAUAUAUCAGUAUCUCUAACAAAGGAGUUACCAAAAUCAUACGCCAAUGAAUCAUUUCCUAAGAUUCUUUAUACACAAAUAAUAAGUUAAUCUUACAACAUAACCAAUCUAACAAAGUCAGGAGAAUAUCCUUUAUCAUUCUCAUCAACAAUGCCGAAAGCCAAUUAUUUAUCGGUAUCGACUUUGAAUAUCUGCAUAUCGUAAAUCAUAUAUUUACACCAAAUGAAUGAGAAAAUUCAAGUAUACAAUCUUAGUAUAUUUAGUACAGAGGAUCAAGAACUUACUUAUCUUACAUUCUGCCAACAUCUGUAAAAUGAAAUAUUGCUAAACGAGGCAAAAUAUUAUUUAUGAGGCAAAAUAUUAUGUAGUACCCUAAUAAAGAUUUGUUAUUCCAACGAUCAUUUAUUUCUUAUUUUCGUGAUAUUUGUAGGUAAAUAUUAAAAUCAUAAAUUACUGUAAAACAAAAUGUUAAAAUGUCUUCAUGAUUGUGACGUCAUAAUUAAAUGAAAUUAAUAAAAUCUGAUCCUGCAAAGUUAUCUUUGACUGCAAAAUCAAUAUUUAUGCAUUACUAUCAAAACUCAAAUCUGAGUCUGUAAAAUAAUUUUAAAUUAUAAAAUAUAUUCGUUUGAAUAUUAUAUAUAAAGUAAAUAGAGUGAAUGUAUAUAUAAUUAUAUAUUGUGAGUCUAAGUAUAAUUUAAUGAAAAUCUAUGUUAUGGAUUACAACUCGAGAAUAAUGAAAAUCUUGAUUAUGGAUUCAUUAAUUAAUAUUUUUCAAUUUCAUAAUCCACUAUUUUCUAAAAUGGAUUAACCAUAAUCCAAAAUUUACAAAAAUAAGAUUACACCUCAACCCUCACUUCACUCUCUAUAUAAAGUCACCACUCUCCUUCAUUUCAUUUCAUUCAUCAUCUAAAAAAACACAUUCUGCAGUAAAAAAAAAGAAAAAAUCUGCAUUCUUGAAAAGAAAUGGCCAAUGACAAUGCAUUGAAAGUGGAAAUGCUAGUCAUAUACAAAAAGUGUAUGCACAACCAUGCAGCCUCCACCAGAGGAUUCCUCCUCGACGGCUGCGGCCUCUUCGAGGCCCCUAGCGGCACCACCGCCGGGUCCCGCGAGGCCAUGUUCUGUGCCGUCUGCGGCUGCCACCGCAACUUCCACCAGAGAGUCGCGGUGGAAAUUCCACAACACUACCACUCCUCCCGCUCCUCCUCCGCCUCGCAACUCCACCAACAACAACAGCCCGCCUCCCACCCCCACCACCACCACCGUGGUGGCAGAGGCAACAUGAUCAUUUGCCGCGAACCGGCCUCUGCACAGGGCCGCUUCGCUCUCGAGUAGGCGGCGGCUCGUCGGCAGACGCCGGCAGCGAGCCCCGCCCUGACCACCUCUCCGGCCACCAGACAUGUACAGAGCCGAGCCCCACAUCGACAUGCGUCGGGCACCUCUGCACGACAGGGAGUGCCACCUCAGCAUGGGGUGCGUGCUACGCGCGCAAAGAGAAUAACGAGGGCCCAAAGCGAAAUGGUGAGGACCUUGACUGAGAGGAACAACUGGAAAAUGUUCCGGGAGUACUCUCAGGCCGAGGUUUUACGUAUUUGUUCCGAUUUCGGAAUAACUACACUGGCCCUCAAAAACUGCAUCUCUUCUCUACACAGGCGAAGAAGAAAAGCUGC
Molecule: long non-coding RNA, 17227 nt
Filed under: Erythranthe guttata (spotted monkey flower)
Lineage: Eukaryota; Viridiplantae; Streptophyta; Magnoliopsida; Lamiales; Phrymaceae
Description: long non-coding RNA (EGUT_LNC002602)
Source: RNAcentral